RNAcentral lists this transfer RNA (88 nucleotides) under Pseudonocardia halophobica. RNAcentral describes it as "tRNA-Ser". It matches the Rfam family "tRNA". Rfam says of the family: Transfer RNA (tRNA) molecules are approximately 80 nucleotides in length. Their secondary structure includes four short double-helical elements and three loops (D, anti-codon, and T loops). Further hydrogen bonds mediate the characteristic L-shaped molecular structure. tRNAs have two regions of fundamental functional importance: the anti-codon, which is responsible for specific mRNA codon recognition, and the 3' end, to which the tRNAs corresponding amino acid is attached (by aminoacyl-tRNA synthetases). tRNAs cope with the degeneracy of the genetic code in two manners: having more than one tRNA (with a specific anti-codon) for a particular amino acid; and 'wobble' base-pairing, i.e. permitting non-standard base-pairing at the 3rd anti-codon position. The record is from RNAcentral. Lineage: Bacteria; Bacillati; Actinomycetota; Actinomycetes; Pseudonocardiales; Pseudonocardiaceae. RNAcentral also lists the same sequence under 3 other names.
GGAAGCGUGGCAGAGCGGCCGAAUGCACUCGCCUUGAAAGCGAGAGACACGAGAGUGUCCGGGGGUUCGAAUCCCUCCGCUUCCGCCA